Cricetulus griseus (Chinese hamster) is the source of this 3356-nucleotide non-coding RNA. Lineage: Eukaryota; Metazoa; Chordata; Mammalia; Rodentia; Cricetidae. The record is from RefSeq and is a predicted model, not a curated record.
AAUUUUUUAAAAACUUCUUCAAAGUGUUCUCCCUUAAGCAACCGCAUUCCUAUGGUUUACGUGGGAGUUGAUUAAAAGGCAUUGUUAGAUUUUUGUGUGUUUCAAUAAUCUGAAUUCUGAGUCUUUACUUGUUGGUGGGUUUCUUGGGAAGAUUCAUGUUGAGCUAUCUAGGGGGUGCAGACACAGUAGAGAGCUGCUGGACUUCGGGGAAGACGUUCUCAUCAUGGCCAGGGUGUGCACAUAGACCUGGAGUCAAGGGGGACACUUAACCUUCUGCUAUACCUAGAAUAGAAGGGGGCAACCCUACCCCUAGUUCCCAUCAACCCCAUUCUGUUAUUUUGACUAACAAAAACAUUUCCUUCAGCAGUUCACUCUACUCAAGUCAGAGGCAUGAAGGUCAAGUGGCAGGACCCACCUGCAAUACUUAGUGUCUGUUUGCAAAACAAGGCAAAAUCAGCGCUGGCCACUUGCCCAGUUUCAGCUGUCAGUCCCUCUCCUUGAGAGCUCCUUAGUAACAGCUCCCCCUGAGGAACAUGGUCCUUUGACAGCUGCUCAAAGGCAUUCAGGUCAUGUUAAUGUCACUUUCCCUUUGCGAGCCUUUCCCUGUAUACAGUGUGUCAACAUUAACAGCCCAGUGCCUGCCUGCGUGGAUGAUGGUUCCAUGUACCUUGUUUUUACUUGAUGUGUUGAACUGGUUUUGUUUUGAGAAAGAGCUAACUGUGUGGAUCAAGCUGACCUCAAAUUAAUGAUACUCCUGCCUCAGCUUCCAGUAGCCAGGAGUAUUAGGCAGCUACUGUUUAAAUGUUUUCUAAGACUUGAGGAAAGAAGGAAACCUGAUUUUUAAAAAUCAAAUUGGAUAACUUAGAAAACCUUAUGGGGAUAAAACUCAGGCCCAGUUAAUGAAAAAGUACCCAUGUGCUCUCCUCAUCUUCACCUUUGACCUGUGCCCUCGAAACCCAGGCUCUCCUUCAGAUUCCUGCUCCAGCAAACACUUUUCUCUGGGCUUUUUGUUUUAUGAGUGGUCUGUCUGCAUGUAUAUGUACCAUGAGUGCCUGAUGUCCCCAGGGGUCAGAAGAGGGCAUUGGAGUCCCUGAAACUGAAGCUACUGGUUGCUGGGAAUCAAUGUCAGGUUCUGUGCAGGGACAGCUAGUGCGAGCUCUAAGCCGCAAAGCCACCUCUGCAGCUCCUCUUGUAAGAGUAUUUUCAGAAGUUGUGUUCUGUUAACAAAGAAUGGGUUUGUCUCCUCAGCAUGCCUGUCAUAGGAGAUUUGAUGCCGUAAAGGCUGGGAAGGAAGUGCUCAAGGGAAGUCUCUUGGAAGUGUGAUAAACAAGCACAUUUUUAUGUCCUAUUUAUCCUCGGUAAACCUUUUACUUUCACUAAAAUUGUUUUCUUUCUGAAAUUAAGUUUAGAUAAUUAAAAUCUGUUAGAAUCUUUAAAAUCUGCACAUCUGUUUAAUUCCUUCCCAAAUUUGUUCACAUUUGAAAGUUAUUUCUUUUUCUGGGGCCAUAUUUCAGAGCAACCACUUAAGAUGUGAAGCAGAGAAUAUUGGUGUACUCUGGCAUUUGAUGUCACCAGGUAGCAUACCCUCGGCUGAUGUUCAGAUGACACUCUGCAUUCCUUCCCGAGAAGAGCAGCCUGACAGUCAAAGUAUACAAUUAGGAGCAGGGGCAGGAUCUUCCACAGACACUCAAAUCCCAAGGACUUAGAAGUACCCCCUCAGCUGUGAACAAGAUAAAACAGCUUCUCAAAGACAAGCCAGAGCACGUGGGUCUGAAAGUUGGUGUGCGAACCAGGGGCUGUAAUGGCCUCUCUUACACCCUGGAGUAUACAAAGACAAAAGGAGAUUCUGAUGAAGAAGUUAUUCAAGAUGGCUUUAUGUGACGUGUGUUUUCUUUACCCCAAGAGUCAGUGUUCAUCGAAAGGAAAGCACAGUUAACACUUUUAGGAACAGAAAUGGACUAUGUGGAAGACAAACUAUCCAGUGAGUUUGUUUUCAAUAACCCCAACAUCAAAGGAACUUGUGGCUGUGGUGAAAGCUUCAACAUUUGAAACCUCAGGAGGACUCCAAGCUCCAGGAGAGCCGGGAUCUACCUGGGAGCUUACUGAAGAAAUCAUGUGAUUGUCACGUGCUCAGAGUUUAUAAUGUGUGGCCAUCUCAAGGGGGAAAAUAAAGUGAUGCAUUUUGGAAAUCAAGCCAGUGUGCUAAGAGUCCCAACAACUGACAUCUGUAUUGUCUUGGUAUCUGUAUGUGAGAGACCAUUGGUUUCUUUGGGUCGUUCUUCUGUUCUUUACAGAAAACUCCUACCCUGCUCUUAACACUGCAGUGUGCUUUGUGACAGAACCAACUUUGUGGCCACAGAUAACAGGUGUGCACCCAGAUCCAGGUGGGACAACUGUGGGUGACAGCGUAGUGGUACCUCAUUCCCCUCUCAGAUUUGCCAUGGCCUUUUAUAUUUUUAUUAGAAAUAUGGUUAUCGGAUGCCUCGUUUGCCUGCUCCUCAGCAGUUCCACACUUCUGAGUGGUGGUGUCAGAAGGUGGGCGCCGCCAGGCCUGGCCUCAGUCCAUCCCCUAGGAGGUGCUUAGACCUUUCAGUUGGAGGCUGCUGUGACCAGCAGGCAGCUAGCUCACUGCACUUCACCCUGUGCAUGUAGAGACCAGAUCCGAGCACAAGUCAGAAGAGUUAGACCGCACCCAGCUCCCCCUUCCGCACAGAUGAUACCAGUGCUCUAUGAGACACUCAGUGGGGGUGAGUGGUGGCCUGGCUUCCGUGCCUGGGCAGUGUUUCCAUAAGACUUUCUUAAUUUAUGGAGAUUGCAUUAGUUUUCUUUUGAAUGGAAAAGUCUUGUUUAAACCCUUUGUGUGAAUUGCCAUCUUGUUUGUUUAGAACUUUGAAACAGAGAUCCUGCAAUGGUGGAAUUGCCCUUGGAGCACAGGACCUGUGGAGCAGAACAUGGAAGUGUUGUCUUAUAGUUCCCAAUAUGCGUAUACUCUCUGGUUCCUAAAUGAAAUAGCUGAAUUUUUAGUGUUUUUAUCACCCAUCUUUUGAGUUGUGAUUUUGCUGUAGAGUACAGGCCAGCCUCACUCUCGACCCUCCCGCUGCAGCUUUGAGACAUGCCAAGCUUUUCUUCAGAGCGGUCUUGACUUGUGUUGACAUCUUAAGUGACCUGUGAUUUUCAUGAAGUAGCUGGGGUUAAUAUUUGCGCUAUUUACUAAAAUACCUACCACCAAAAUGCACCAUGUAGUUUUAUAUGAUUGUUGAUAAGUCUGUAUCAUAAGUAGACUUGUUGAUACACCUUUAAUUUGUGCAAUAUUGUAUGUAGCGAUUGAGUAUCAAUUAAAAAACACCUCUCUGUGA